CUGUGCCAAUGCCUCACCACUCUUCCCGAGAAGAAUUUUUUCUAAUAUUAGAGGGUUUCACUGAAAGAGGUAGGAGCAUGGAUCUAGCAGUUGUAGAUGUUGGGUUGCUUUGUGAAAAGGGAGGAGGAGAAUAUGCUUAGGCUGCUACACUUGAGCUAAAGCACAGAUGGAAGUCACCAGAAACCAUGUUCCAGCGUGAUUUUGGUGGUGUGUGCUGGUGGAUCUCUCUUGAUGGACAUAAGGGUGUGUAAGAGGAGACUGACUGCUCCUCUGGAGGCACUGGUCAAGGACCUUUUCCAAGGCAACAAGGGAUAAUGAGAAAGGGAGGCAGUGAUGGGAACCAGCUCUGAGCAGUUGCACUAAUUUAUGUGUAUUUGCACUCUCUCCUGUGUAUAUGUGAGCUGCAGGGGUUAAUUGCCCAAUCCUGACAAGAUCUGGAUGUGGGUGGGUGAACUUCAGUGCCAGAUACUGGUGUGGGUCUGGGCUAUAGGGCCAUGGUCUGAGUAGUUGACCUGUGAAGUGGGUAAGGGGCCCAAGAUCUGGGCAGGGGUGCUGGGCCAUGCUGGUGUGUGAAUGUGCAUGCACUUGUGAAUGUGGAGAGUGCACUGUGUGCCUGCACUGGCGAACUUCUGUACGCAACAGCCAUGAAGAGGAAGGGAUCACAGUUGCCUGUGUGUGUUUUAUAUGAGUCCUGUGUGUACGUGCUACUGAAGGUAGCUCUUAGCUGGGGCAGCCUGCAUGACCAGUUGUGUCAUUGACCUGUGCAUCUCUGGGAUACGUGCUCAGCUUUGCUAGUGGUUGAAACUACAGCGGGUUUUAUUUCCUAAGCCGUAGGACUAUUGCCCUUGCACUAACAGAGCUUGCUGAAAGCUGACCAAGAGCUCCAUAGCUGUAGAUCAGCUUGCAGCUGUUUGUGCUCAUGAGAUGAUCACAGUGCUGAUAAAGGCAAAACUGGUGCCGCUGAAAACAAUACCUUUGCAGUGUACUCAAACUGUAGUUCCUUUCUGUUUCCUCUUGUAAGCAGAGUAAUGGAAAGAGAAGAGUAAAGGUGAGCAAGAGAGACCAGGGGAGCUGGAAAAAGGUAUUGUAGAAAGCAAUGAACAGAAAGAGACAUUAAAGUUAGGAGGGUAAAGGAGAACUGAAAUCUUAUUUCUCUUGUGCUUUCUAUCCCAGUGCCAUUAGCACCAUUUAUGCAAAACAAAAACAAACAAACAAAAAACCUGGUAAUGGGAUUAGAACCUGAAAGGCUAUGUGUAAUGUGUGUGUGGAAAAGUGUUUGUGGCCACACUACCAAUGUCACCUACACAACUAAGCACAUCUACAGUUAUUCUUCAGAUGUUGUUAUGCCGUGGAUACAUCAGGACAGACACACAGAAGUUCUGCUUACCUUAACUAAUGCAGUUAACAGUCCAUACAGCUGUGAACCUACCUGUGAGCAGCUGGAAAUGCCUUCGCAGUUGUUUGCGACAGCCAGUAGUAGUGGAGUAAAAAGAGCUUGUCUGUCUGUGUGCUUCAUGUUUCCCUUAGGUAAUGGGAAACUCUGAAGUUGCACUGGGCUUGAGUUAGCUUAGAAAUAGGGUAAACAACCCACUUCUAAAGAAAAGGUUGCCCUAUUUGUUAUGACAGUUCUGUGAGUAAGUGAAAGCCUUAAUAUGUUUAAGGUGGAAAGGAAGAGUGAACACUGAUGCCAGCAGCAGUCUGGACUCAGGGCGCAACUAAGUUUGCUUUUCGCACCCCUGGGCAAAGCUCUCCUUCUGGUCAUGAACAGGAGAAGGACCAAGCCCCAGUCUGCUCAGAGUCCCACACGUUCCCAGGUAUACACAUCAGACAGGCCCACCAUGCUCUCCUGCUCCAACACUAUGUAGAUAUGGCUUGGUAUGCUGCUGAAACAUGUUAGCAUUAUUUCCAAAUCAGUGGCACAAAGCUUCUUUGCCUGAGACAAGGUCAGAAUCUCAGAGAUGCCCAUUCUCUCCCAGUCUGUGGCACAUCUGUCAGCCAUCCAAAAACCAGGCCUGCCACCGUGAGACCAGCUGCCAGCACAGUGUGACGUGAACUUGCCCAAAAUAGUGCUUGUAUUCCCAGGCAGCCUGCAAGGCUUGAGUGCAGAAAUACUGUCCAUAGUAGGGAAAUCAUGGAGAUUAUAGAAAAAAAAAAAAGCAGUAACACCUGUUAAGUAUUUAGAAUGGAAGCAAGUAUCUCUGAACAACAGACUGUUUCGUGUCUGGUAAAUAGUGUAUAUACUCUAAGAUGUCCCUUGGGAUGAGAAAGGAAGGAUGAGAGAACUCCUUUUAAUUAUCUUAUGUGUUUUCUGACUUAAUUAUCAGGAAAUUAAGCUCCGAGGAGGAUCUGGCAGCUGGAAGACUGUGAUCUCCAGCCUGGGGAUGGGACUGAGGUCAGAGGAGCUACUAAGGAAAGCUCCCAGGAGAGCCUGGCUGUGAGGAGAUCUGGACAGAGGUCCACUAGGUGGCACUUCCCUCUUGGUUUUCAGAAACAGUCUUCCCCCAGACAACAUGAGACUGUACAGGAGAUGCUCCAGGCACCUCAUCAUCACUGUGGCACUGUGCUGGACACUGUCCAGCAGUUCUCUGUCUUUCUUGAACUGCGGAGCCCAGAACUGGACACAGUAUUCCACAUGUGGCCUUACCAGAGCAGUGCAGAGGGGGAAGAGACUGGGACUCUGAUCGGUGUUCACGCAAAGAGCUGUCAACCUGUACUCUGAAGUUUCCUGAGGGAAACUGCCAGUGUCUCAGUUUGUCUGAAAGCAGCAUUGUCCCGAAGAUACCAGCCUCUUCCAUGCUGCUCUGACACUGUUCUUCUCUGCCGCUAUUCAUCCGAUUGCAGGUUAUUCAGUAGAAGGAAGAGGAAGGCACUAAUGGCAAAUUAAACACAGGGAAUAUAUUUCAUUGCUAGAACUGAGAACUCACACAGAUCACAUUUCAGAAAGCUUUAUUCGCAAUUAUGAAAAUCAAAUAGGUAUGAUUUUCUUUAGAGUAACAAUAAGCCUGUGCUACGGAUAAUUGCAUAUACAAUCCGUGUUAACAAAACAAGAGAUAUAUAUUCUCUUCGCUGUUUUGAGAAUUGCUGUAGUCUGCAUCAGGUGCUGUCAUCUCUGGGCAUAUCUAUGAUGGUCAUGGUUGAUUAAACAAUUUUAUGACUUAUGUAAAAUCUGAGAACAUUUAAACGUACAUUCAAUUUUUUUUUCUGUGGAAAAUAAUAGGAAAACCUUCAGAUAACUCCCUGCUAGCAUUUUGGCCUUUUUCCUCUCCAUGUUCCAGUUUUUCCAUCUCCUAAAUGAUGCCAGACUGACUUUAUAGGAAUGUUGGGAGGUUUUAAUAAUAGAUAGGAAGUGUGCUGAGAUCGUUGCUGGAGAGUGCUCUGUAAAUUUAAAAUGUGAUGGUUAAUAAUGCAGGCCUGCGUGACAUCGUGAGUUAGAGAAGGUGCCAUGGUGCAAUCCCAGAGCUUUCCAAGCCGGUUCCAAGGUAAAAUAUGAAUGAAAUUCACUUUUGUGCUGUGUGUGGAAAACCCGGUGUUCAAUGAGCACUGGGGUAAAUUUGGUACACUGUAGUAUCACUUCCUUACAAAACAGACGGUGCCUAACCUAGCAGUGUAGGAAGAGCUAAUUGCCAAAAUAAGUCACACUCAGCUGCAAGUCAGUGACAGAUACCUUAAUUUCAGGUGUAAGAACUGGUUUAGGGAUGGGGGUAUAAGCUUGAAACAAGAAAGUGACUUUGUAUGCUGUCAGAGAUUUGCAGCGUGACCUUGAGGAAGUCAUUUAAAUUUACUGUUUCUUGAGUUCUUCAUCUGAAAAAAAACCCAAGCGUAGCAUUUUCCCUUCCUCCCAAGGGUGUUAUGAGGAUAACUACAUUAAUUAGUUGCCUGCUUAGAGAUGGGUUUAAUAGGCUGGGGUAGCUAGAACAUCACUCUUCCUUAUCUCUACUGACCAGUCCUGGUCAGUAUCGUGUCACCUAAAUUGAUUUUUGCAGAAGGUGAUUAAACACAAUUAAACGCCCAUGUUAAAACUGACUCUAGGAUUAGCUUUAUUGAACUGAGAUGAAAGUGUUGAUAGAUUCUGAACUCCUUUUAUUAAAAAAAGUGUUAAUGGGAUCCAUACAGAGUUGACAGAACAAAUUCCUUUCCCACAAGCCCACCAUUAUCUAUAAGAUGAAAUUAGAGUUCUAUUUCUAAACUACAGAGCAGUCAUCUCUCUUUUUAAUUAAAAAAAAAAUUAAAAAGUGUUAAUGAUCCCUGUCUUUAGCUCACUUGCUAACUUUCCUUUGGCAGCUGUACCGGUUUCUGUUGUUCAACUUAAGGCUUUUAUUUUCUCGUUGCAGCAUGUAAAGAUUGUUUUUUUUUGACAGAUUUUGCAUUUCAUUUGAAAGAAAUACAAAUUUUGCUGUGGACACCAUAACUGGUCAGCAGCUGUGGGGAUGGAAAAGGAACAGAACAGCAUCUGGAACCAUCCUCUUUUGUUUCAGGUUCUGAGAAAGUCCUCCUUAAAUGGCAGAAUUUCUGUUAGAUAAAAAUCACUGUCCAUCUGCUCUCAUGGGCUUUAUUUCAAAUCCCGUAAUGACAGUAAUGAUGAUAAUUGCUAGUAACAGAGGACAGUCCUGUGGCCUGUGUGAAAUGAGUUUGGAGGAUCAGUGCUUAAUUUUCGGCGUGUAUGGCUCCAUGUUGUUGGACGGUCAUUGAAAUCAGUAGGACUCUUUCCAGCAGCUUCCGUGAUCGUUGGCUGGGACACUAAACGCCAUAUUACAGCAGGGGAAAAUUAGCAUAGCUGUUGGCAGUUCAGCAGCUGAUGACUGAAUAGAUAAGACUGAAACCCCCUUUCACCUUUCCAGACUGAAACUGGGAGAGGCAAGGGGGGCAGAGAAGGGACGCAGCGCUGCUUAUUAGCAGACGACUGCCCUGUUCUCCCUCGGUGAGAACUUCAGGGCUGAUGUAUUUCAGGCACCUGAUAUUUUUCUCUGGUAUUACCCACCUGGGUCCAGGUAGUUGCACAUAAGGAAAAUAGCUGUCAUAUUUGUGGAAAGCUGUGCAUGCUUAUGAGGGCUGAAAGACUCGAUUUCAGGGCAGAUGUGAGGGCCGCAGCGCUGGGACUCAUUUUCUGGUGGGUCCUACUGCAGGAGCUUUGUGCAGUCACACACUUUACACUGUAAAAUCUCUCCGUGCUCUGAUAUUAAUUAGUGAUGCUGCAGGGACUCCUCACUUCUUUGGAAGUGUGGGGCAACCCCUGAGAUUUUUGUAGCUUGCAGCUUUUUGGCUUGUCCCUUCCACGCAGCAGACACCGUCAGUAGCACCAGUCUUCCCCAUGGAACCUCCCUUUGCAUGAACAUGGAUUUUCAGGUCUCUAUUUUCCCAGGUUACUAUUUGGUGAUAUUUCAGCGCUGUUCUCAUGUCCAGAUAUUAUUUCUCUGAGUUCUGUUCUACAACAGAGAAAAAACACAAGAUCUUGAAGAACCUGCAGCCAUUAAAGAAGUGAAAAGCAAAGAUGUGAGCCAAACCAACAGGAAUUCCCACUCCUGUGCUGAAGAGUGCUUCUUCACCAUGGGUCCCAGUGAGGCAGAUCAAAUAGAAAAGAAACUGGAAUUAAAAUCUGUGGAGCUUUCCAGGAUGAGCAAGGCUGAACCUGAGGUUUCUGACAGGCUGGGAAGGAGUGAGUAGAAUUAGUGUGGGGAAAGCAGAACUUGGGAUCCUGAGGAAGGUUCUGGACCCUUCGUGUCCAUGCAGAAACCCCAGAGCAGACACUGCUACCAAGGCCAUAUUGCUCACAGAAAAUUGGCAGAAUUCGCACACAUUGUAAUGCGCAAGAACCCAGCAAACAGGGAUGGUCAAGCUUUGGAGGACUGUGCAGAGUGUCCUGCCUUCUGCUUUUCCAGUCUUUUGUGGAGGUUUCUUCUUUGCAGCAUUGCUGUUUCCUCUUAAAUGUCUUAAGGAACUAACUUGCCUGCUUGCAGUUGUCCAACCGUAUCCACAGGGAAACCCGGGCAAAAAAAUUAAUCCUGCUAAAAUGAUUUUUCUUUGGACAAGCUACACUGAUAGAAGUACCUCUAACCUGAGAUUUUGUGUCGGUGCGAGGGAGCUCUAUUGAUUUAGUAGAUUUGAAUUUAAGUCAAUGGAGUUCAAUCAAUACCCAAGUGGAGCGGAGAUUAGGUUCUCCAUUGAUUUUGAGUGUGGCCAACACCAGUAGACUUUGUAAUUUACAAGCACGAGUUAUAUUGACGUGAGGCAGGUUUAAAUCACUCCAGCCAUGUUGCAUGAGUUGCCUCUGAGCUCUGCUAAGAUUUAGGCUGGGAGUUGAAGGUAGGGUUCCAGUGAUGCAUUUGCAGCUUGCUGGUGGUUGUGGAUACGUGAGUUCUGACAAAACAUGGCAUGUGACUGCAUCUUCAUGCACUUCUAUCAGAAGCUGAGGUUUAGCAAAAAUCAGCUUGUAAUCUCAUACAGAGUUAUUUGGCUGCAGCUUCCAUAGGCAGCAUCUUGGACAGAAAUCUAUCUUGGCUUCCCUAGAAGCUUCUUUCCAUUCAUCUUAGUGGUAAAGGAAAGAGGCAGGGACCCUGCAGAUAACCUUUUUCUAUUGUAUGCUACUGAAUAAAGCCAAAU
Long non-coding RNA from Numida meleagris (helmeted guineafowl), 6597 nucleotides. RefSeq lists it as uncharacterized. The transcript is spliced from 4 exons. NCBI's taxonomy places the organism in Eukaryota, Metazoa, Chordata, Aves, Galliformes, Numididae. The record is from RefSeq and is a predicted model, not a curated record.